RNAcentral lists this long non-coding RNA (1574 nucleotides) under Calidris pygmaea (Spoon-billed sandpiper). Its description in RNAcentral is "lncRNA (ENSCPGG00000001850.1)". The record is from RNAcentral. Lineage: Eukaryota; Metazoa; Chordata; Aves; Charadriiformes; Scolopacidae.
GGAAAGGGUGCUAAGUGCACAACAACUUUUUUUUAAUAGCAAAUUCUCCAAUUACAACCAACCUACUUAAAUAAAAUAUAAAUUCAAGGUGAAGCUUAAGACACAAAAAUAUAGUACAAUAAAUUUAUUAACUGAAAAUUUAAAUAGCACUCCUUGACACACACAUGUCAUUUUCAUUCAGAAUGCCCACCUCUAUGAGAGAAAUUGUCCCUGAAUAAACAAACAGAAACUUCAUCCCUGUCAUAAUGUUCACAAUAAAACAGAGUAACAUGUACACAAUAAAACAGAGUAACAUGUACACAAUAAAUUGGAUGAAAAAAGAGCAAAUAAGAGUAGCUAAUGAUUUUAAAAUACAAAAAUAAGUAAACUCUGUAACUGCAUGUUUAUUAUAUCCCUCUUCAUUAUCUUUCUAAGACAGAAAUGCAACUAGAAAAAUAGACGAAUGUGAUGAGUCACUUUAACAAAGGUAGUUGUUAACAGCUUGUAAAAACACAUGAACUAUGUAUUCAUAUUUCAUAAUUAAUACAAUAAGAAGCAUAAUCCUGAGCAGAUUGCUAGAUUAGACUAUAAAUAUUGAAAUUCCAUAUAAACUGUAUUUACAUAUUUAUCAUUGCGUGGUCAAGUACUUGCAGGUUAAGAAAUGCCAAAACCAAGUUUGCACAUAUAACUUUAAUUGCUGUCUCUCUGUGCUUCACACGUCUCAAGGUCUCAUGGAAAAAUUAAUACGUUAUAUACCUGAAAUGUCUUCAUUUUACAAGGUGGGAAUCCCUAAACUGGUAGUUAUUAAUAAUGUCAUUCUUUUCAAAUUAUCUGUAUACAUUACGCAACUUUCAAAUUGUGCUUUGGAAAUGAGUUAUUAUUUCCUUAUGGCUUUUUCCUCUUUCUUUACAAUGCAGGUCAUCACUGUGAAUCUAAACAAUACUGUUCAGAUACAACAAUUCAAAUUGGCAGCACAGACAACUGGCCCAUACUCUGGUAACUUUUUGCUGCCUUUUACACAGAGAAAUCAGAAGAGAGGUCAUGUACCUCUGCGUUGUUUUCAGUGCUAUUUGAUGAGGGCAGAUGCACACAUUGAAUCUAAGAAUUAUGGAUUAAUUCCAGGCUGUCAGAGGAGUUUAGCAAUUGUAUUUUUGUUUUCUCCUCCUGAUCAAGUUCUCUUUGUCUUCUUUAAUGUGCAGCUGCCCAGCAGACUUGUAUUCCAGUCAGCCUGCAUCUGCAAGCUCUCCACUCGUUAGUGGUUGAACAAGGAAAAUCUCAAAGAUUGCCCACAGUCUUCGUUUUAGCACCACAGUAACUUUCAGUACCAUAACAGAAAUGGCAGAUCUUCUGCUGAGCUCAGGAGUCCUCAGACUUGGCUGCCUCUUGGUUAGCCAGCAGGGAGGCAGAGCUGUAGCAGCAACUCUGACUGCACUACCUACGAGAUGCAGCAGAGUUAAGAGUUUAAUUAACAUAUAGGAGCUAUAUGGCAAUAGAGAACUCUACAUAUAGAUACAAUCUUUCUAAAAACUAUAAGCCAUACAAGAUUUGUAUGUAAACCAAAUAAAACUGGAUAGUUUAUAGGUAAGAGAAAUCCA